AAUAGAUACCCGGGUAGUCCACGCCGUAAACGAUGAGUGCUAAGUGUUAGGGGGUUUCCGCCCCUUAGUGCUGCAGCUAACGCAUUAAGCACUCCGCCUGGGGAGUACGGUCGCAAGACUGAAACUCAAAGGAAUUGACGGGGGCCCGCACAAGCGGUGGAGCAUGUGGUUUAAUUCGAAGCAACGCGAAGAACCUUACCAGGUCUUGACAUCCCAUUGACCGCUAUGGAGACAUAGCUUUCCCUUCGGGGACAGUGGUGACAGGUGGUGCAUGGUUGUCGUCAGCUCGUGUCGUGAGAUGUUGGGUUAAGUCCCGCAACGAGCGCAACCCUUGUUCUUAGUUGCCAUCAUUUAGUUGGGCACUCUAAGGGAGACUGCCGGUGACAAACCGGAGGAAGGUGGGGAUGACGUCAAAUCAUCAUGCCCCCUUAUGACCUGGGCUACACACGUGCUACAAUGGACGGUACAAACGGUUGCCAACCCGCGAGGGGGAGCUAAUCCGGAUAAAACCGUUCUCAGUUCGGAUUGUAGGCUGCAACUCGCCUAC
RNAcentral lists this ribosomal RNA (547 nucleotides) under uncultured bacterium. RNAcentral's name for it is "bacterial SSU rRNA". It matches the Rfam family "Bacterial small subunit ribosomal RNA", at positions 777 to 1319 of the family's 1533-position model. The record is from RNAcentral.